Molecule: long non-coding RNA, 1417 nt
Organism: Culex pipiens pallens (northern house mosquito)
Lineage: Eukaryota; Metazoa; Arthropoda; Insecta; Diptera; Culicidae
Exons: 2
Source: RefSeq, a predicted model, not a curated record
UCUGGCGGAUACGACUCCCAGCAUGACAUACCAAAACAACUCAUAAAACAGCAUAAAAUAUGUUUUUUGUUUUGGUUGAUAGGAUCCCGGACAGAUCAUUGUUGUGGACUGUCUGAGUUUUUAAAGAAAAGUGUCGGAGGGCGAAGGAUUGCGGCAACAAAAAAAUACGCACUGCUUUACGGUACCUGGUCCCCCGACAACGACCAACCAAGCGGCGGCGGACGUGGUACGGAGGACGCUUCUAGAAACCUUAAAAAAGAGCGCGCCAUCCGCUUCGUGGUCAUGGUCUGUCAGAGAACCUCAAGACGAACGUCGAGUACAUUAAGAUUGCCGGAACCCGGGCGGAUCGGCUAUCAACAACUUCGCCAACGGCAAACUCAUAAUUACGCACGCAGAUGCAGGUCGUCUGGGCCGCUUGGGACAACGUGUCCGAGAAUCCAAAAAUGCACGAGCUGCUGAGACUAGUGUUUCUGAGGCCACCGGAGUGGGCGGAAACAUAGAAGUUGCGGCGGUUAAGGGGUUACAUACAUGUAGAAAAUCACAAAAUGUCAUAUUACAGAUUUUUUUUUGAAUCCACUAAAAGAUGAUUAGGAAUAUUUUUUUCUGUGUAUAUUUCGGCAGUGAUACAACCAAAUGUCUUCAAAUAUGUUUUGAUAAUAGAUGAAAAUGUGUAUUUUAAUGCCCUGAUAACAGUUUUUUAAUAAAAUUAAGUGUGUGCUCACACCAACCUCUGACUUUUUUUUUUAUCGAUUUACAUGUAUGUAACAAAGGCUCUGCAGAAGCGCUCCGAUCACGACGUGUUGUUCCUGACUACGCAGGGUAUCGUCCAGCUGGAGCAGCGUCACCGUAACGGAAUACGCGGUCGCAUGGCGGCCGUGCACGAUCUGUCAGUACUACGCCGUGGUUUUUCAGUUCCAGCAUGGACACUACGACAAGUGCGUCGCGGCUUCGUCGUCGUGAUGAUCAUUUCUCACAGCCAGCCAUAAACGAACUGGUUUUACGGAGGAAUUGGCUGCUAAUCUGAGCGAACUUACCUCGCUGAAGAAUCGCUUGUGACUCUUCGCGCUCGACAGGUCCUAAUAGCUGCUCAUCAGCCAGCUUAAGAACUACGUCACAACCAGAUAAAGUCCAUCUGUCUGUCUAAGAGCACGAAAACCUGCAGUGGUUGAUCUUUUCGGAUGUUUCCAUCUUGGAUAUUCCGCACGACUACCUUUCGACCUUUCUACGACUACUCGUUUCUACCUUUCUUAUCGUGCAGUCUGCAAUGCAAUGCUGGAUUACGUCCAUUGGGCGUACUCGUCCUAUGAUUUGACCUGCCUGCAGCAUCUGGAGCUGUCCGGCAAAGUCCCGCUGAUGAACUGCCAACAGCACGUUACGAGUGUUUUUCUUCUGUGCCUCUGUUUUUUUGUGACCCGAU